Molecule: ribosomal RNA, 484 nt
Filed under: uncultured bacterium
Lineage: Bacteria
Description: partial 16S ribosomal RNA
Rfam family: Bacterial small subunit ribosomal RNA
Source: RNAcentral
AUUGAACGCUGGCGGCAUGCUUUACACAUGCAAGUCGAACGGCAGCGCGGGCUUCGGCUUGGCGGCGAGUGGCGAACGGGUGAGUAAUGCAUCGGAACGUGCCCAGCAGUGGGGGAUAGCCCGGCGAAAGCCGGAUUAAUACCGCAUACGACCUGAGGGUGAAAGCGGGGGACCGAAAGGCCUCGCGCUAUUGGAGCGGCCGAUGUCGGAUUAGCUAGUUGGUGGGGUAAAGGCUUACCAAGGCGACGAUCCGUAGCUGGUCUGAGAGGACGACCAGCCACACUGGGACUGAGACACGGCCCAGACUCCUACGGGAGGCAGGAGUGGGGAAUUGUGGACAAUGGGGGCAACCCUGAUCCAGCCAUGCCGCGUGCGGGAAGAAGGCCUUCGGGUUGUAAAGCGCUUUUGUUCGGGAAGAAAUCCUCUGGGCUAAUACCCCGGGGGGAUGACGGUACCGGAAGAAUAAGCACCGGCUAACUACGUG